UACGGAGGGUGCGAGCGUUAAUCGGAAUUACUGGGCGUAAAGCGCGCGUAGGCGGUUUGUUAAGUCAGCUGUGAAAGCCCCGGGCUCAACCUGGGAACUGCAGUUGAUACUGGCCGACUAGAGUACGAGAGAGGGAGGUAGAAUUCCAUGUGUAGCGGUGAAAUGCGUAGAUAUAUGGAGGAAUACCGGUGGCGAAGGCGGCCUCCUGGCUCGAUACUGACGCUGAGGUGCGAAAGCAUGGGGAUCAAACAGGAUUAGAUACCCCGGUAGUCC
Molecule: ribosomal RNA, 273 nt
Filed under: uncultured bacterium
Lineage: Bacteria
Description: partial 16S ribosomal RNA
Rfam family: Bacterial small subunit ribosomal RNA
Source: RNAcentral